This 542-nucleotide ribosomal RNA is filed under the name Eurotiomycetes FQ10893B. Its description in RNAcentral is "eukaryotic LSU rRNA". The stretch from base 166 to 319 matches the Rfam family "5.8S ribosomal RNA". Lineage: Eukaryota; Fungi; Ascomycota; Eurotiomycetes. The record is from RNAcentral.
CGAGCCCAACCUCCCACCCGUGUUUACCGUAACCGCGUUGCCUCGGCGGGCCCACUGGGGCCUGGCCCCGGUCGCCGGGGGGCAUCUGCCCCCGGGCCCGCGCCCGCCGAAGCGCCCUGGAACCCUGUCUGAAUAGUGAGUCUGAGUGAGAUUUUAAAUCAUUAAAACUUUCAACAACGGAUCUCUUGGUUCCGGCAUCGAUGAAGAACGCAGCGAAAUGCGAUAAUUAAUGUGAAUUGCAGAAUUCCGUGAAUCAUCGAGUUUUUGAACGCACAUUGCGCCCCCUGGCAUUCCGGGGGGCAUGCCUGUCCGAGCGUCAUUUCUGCCCUCCAGCACGGCUGGGUGUUGGGCGCUGUCCCCCCGGGGACACGCCCCAAAGGCAGUGGCGGCGCCGCAUCGGGUCCUCGAGCGUAUGGGGCUUUGUCACCCGCUCGGGAGGGACUCGUCGGCGCUGGUCUUCCCCCAGGCGACCCUUCGGGGCUCGUCUUCUUCCGGUUGACCUCGGAUCAGGUAGGGUUACCCGCUGAACUUAAGCAUAUCAA